CGGAUUAAUAAAGGGGAGCCAUAUGCCGUUCAUGUUUACGAUGCAGAAACGUCCAUAUCAUACAAUGAUCCAUGUUCCUCGAAAGGCUGUCAACAUAUGUGUGUUAAGACUCCUGCGGGUCCCAGGUGUCUCUGUGCUGAAGGUUUCCGACUCUCCACAGACAACGUGACAUGCGCAGACCGAUCCUGGUUCCAUGGGAAAGGUUUUAUCGUGAACAAUGAAACAUCGUUUUCCAUGUUGGAAAUGAGUUCUCUUGGUGGGGGAGGAGGAGUGCAACCCUUUCUACCGGUCCCGUCUAUUAUUGAAACAUUUACCGUGGACGCCAACUUAGAUCUUAUCUACUUUGUGGAUGGACGUGAUAACACUUUAAAGGAAUUAAGCAUUAUCACUAAACAACAUAGAAAGCUAGCAGAUAUUUCAUAUGCCAAAGGUAAGAAGCUUUAAAAAAAUGUAAGAAGUUAUAUCAAAAUAUGAGAAGUAUAUCAAAGGCAAGAUG
Ostrea edulis (European flat oyster) is the source of this 496-nucleotide long non-coding RNA. RefSeq lists it as uncharacterized. Lineage: Eukaryota; Metazoa; Mollusca; Bivalvia; Ostreida; Ostreidae. The record is from RefSeq and is a predicted model, not a curated record. The transcript is spliced from 3 exons.